This 200-nucleotide ribosomal RNA is filed under the name uncultured Glomus. Its description in RNAcentral is "partial small subunit ribosomal RNA". It matches the Rfam family "Eukaryotic small subunit ribosomal RNA", at positions 591 to 790 of the family's 1831-position model. The record is from RNAcentral. Lineage: Eukaryota; Fungi; Glomeromycota; Glomeromycetes; Glomerales; Glomeraceae.
CCAAUAGCGUAUAUUAGUGUUGUUGCGGUUAAAAAGCUCGUAGUUGAAUUUCGGGAUUGGGAUAUAUCGGUCGUGCCUUUAGGGGCACGAAUCAGUGUGUGGCCAAUUCUCACCUUCUGGUGAAUUGGGAUGCUCUCGGGUGUUUCAAUGAACUAGGACUUUUACUUUGAAAAAAUUAGAGUGUUUAAAGCGGGCAUUUU